ACACAUGCAAGUCGAACGGCAGCGCGGGGCAACCUGGCGGCGAGUGGCGAACGGGUGAGUAAUAUAUCGGAACGUACCCUGGAGUGGGGGAUAACGUAGCGAAAGUUACGCUAAUACCGCAUACGAUCUAAGGAUGAAAGUGGGGGAUUCGCAAGAACCUCAUGCUCCUGGAGCGGCCGAUAUCUGAUUAGCUAGUUGGUGGGGUAAAGGCCUACCAAGGCAUCGAUCAGUGGCUGGUCUGAGAGGACGACCAGCCACACUGGAACUGAGACACGGUCCAGACUCCUACGGGAGGCAGCAGUGGGGAAUUUUGGACAAUGGGCGAAAGCCUGAUCCAGCAAUGCCGCGUGAGUGAAGAAGGCCUUCGGGUUGUAAAGCUCUUUUGUCAGGGAAGAAACGGUGAAGGCUAAUAUCCUUUGCUAAUGACGGUACCUGAAGAAUAAGCACCGGCUAACUACGUGCCAGCAGCCGCGGUAAUACGUAGGGUGCAAGCGUUAAUCGGAAUUACUGGGCGUAAAGCGUGCGCAGGCGGUUUUGUAAGUCUGUCGUGAAAUCCCCGGGCUCAACCUGGGAAUUGCGAUGGAGACUGCAAGGCUAGAAUCUGGCAGAGGGGGGUAGAAUUCCACGUGUAGCAGUGAAAUGCGUAGAGAUGUGGAGGAACACCGAUGGCGAAGGCAGCCCCCUGGGU
This 688-nucleotide ribosomal RNA is filed under the name uncultured soil bacterium. RNAcentral describes it as "bacterial SSU rRNA". It matches the Rfam family "Bacterial small subunit ribosomal RNA", at positions 51 to 734 of the family's 1533-position model. The record is from RNAcentral.